GAUGAACGCUGGCGGCGUGCCUAAUACAUGCAAGUCGAGCGAACGGACGAGAAGCUUGCUUCUCUGAUGUUAGCGGCGGACGGGUGAGUAACACGUGGAUAACCUACCUAUAAGACUGGGAUAACUUCGGGAAACCGGAGCUAAUACCGGAUAAUAUUUUGAACCGCAUGGUUCAAAAGUGAAAGACGGUCUUGCUGUCACUUAUAGAUGGAUCCGCGCUGCAUUAGCUAGUUGGUAAGGUAACGGCUUACCAAGGCAACGAUGCAUAGCCGACCUGAGAGGGUGAUCAGCCACACUGGAACUGAGACACGGUCCAGACUCCUACGGGAGGCAGCAGUAGGGAAUCUUCCGCAAUGGGCGAAAGCCUGACGGAGCAACGCCGCGUGAGUGAUGAAGGUCUUCGGAUCGUAAAACUCUGUUAUUAGGGAAGAACAUAUGUGUAAGUAACUGUGCACAUCUUGACGGUACCUAAUCAGAAAGCCACGGCUAACUAUGUG
This 497-nucleotide ribosomal RNA is filed under the name uncultured bacterium. RNAcentral describes it as "partial 16S ribosomal RNA". It matches the Rfam family "Bacterial small subunit ribosomal RNA", at positions 28 to 507 of the family's 1533-position model. The record is from RNAcentral.